AAAAAAGUACACACGCACUCUAAGAAUGAGCAAUAACCACAAACUCAAGGACUCAGGAGGCUAGCAAUUGACUUGCACAGAGCCUAGCAAUUCUUUGGCACUGAAUAAUGGUCCGACAUACAAAGAUUACACUUUCUGUCGAGUUCGCUAUCAGUUGUAACUACUCAAUAAAUGUUACAACAGCCUCAUUGAACAGAAGAAAAUUACUGUCAAGAAGCUGAUGGACUCAGAAUUUCAGGCACGACCUUCCUCAGUAAACAUCAAAUUAUCUAAAACCAUAUGCAGUUGAUGUUGCAUUGAUCUUGAACCAAGUGUGAAAUAUUGUACAGU
RNAcentral lists this unclassified non-coding RNA (330 nucleotides) under Hevea brasiliensis (rubber tree). The record is from RNAcentral. Lineage: Eukaryota; Viridiplantae; Streptophyta; Magnoliopsida; Malpighiales; Euphorbiaceae.